Molecule: long non-coding RNA, 309 nt
Organism: Oreochromis aureus
Lineage: Eukaryota; Metazoa; Chordata; Actinopteri; Cichliformes; Cichlidae
Source: Ensembl
CUUGAAGUCACCCUGGAUUAUUCUUUUGGAUAACGCAGAGUGAAGAAAGAAAAUUUUACGUGUGUUCUCCUCUCACAGCUGCUGACAGGAUUUUUGGUAUAUGGCAUGUGGAUGGUACACGUGCGGGUCACCACUUAAAGAACGCUCGCCGUUUGGCAGUACAAUGAAGACCAGAAGAGUAGCGAAUGGCCUCCUCUGAGGCAGAGACCUUCAGACAUGCCACUCCACCGACACAAUGACAUGAAACUGAGUGAAACUUUCACAUUAUUCUGACAAAGAGAUUGUUUAAAUCUCAGUUAUUAUAUGCCG